CCUACGGGAGGCAGCAGUGGGGAAUAUUGGACAAUGGGCGAAAGCCUGAUCCAGCAAUGCCGCGUGAGUGAUGAAGGCCUUCGGGUCGUAAAGCUCUUUUACCAGGGAUGAUAACGACAGUACCUGGAGAAUAAGCUCCGGCUAACUCCGUGCCAGCAGCCGCGGUAAUACGGAGGGAGCUAGCGUUGUUCGGAAUUACUGGGCGUAAAGAGUACGUAGGCGGUUAUUCAAGUCAGAGGUGAAAGCCCGGGGCUCAACCCCGGAACUGCCUUUGAAACUAGAUAACUAGAGUCUUGGAGAGGUUAGUGGAAUUCCGAGUGUAGAGGUGAAAUUCGUAGAUAUUCGGAAGAACACCAGUGGCGAAGGCGACUAACUGGACAAGUACUGACGCUGAGGUACGAAAGCGUGGGGAGCAAACAGGAUUAGAUACCCUGGUAGUCCACGCCGUAAACGAUGAUAACUAGUUGUUCGGUCACUUGGUGACUGAGUGACGCAGCUAACGCAUUAAGUUAUCCGCCUGGGGAUACGGUCGCAAGNUUAAAACUCAAAGUAUAAUGACGNUGGANGCGACGAGCACGAGGAGGUAG
Molecule: ribosomal RNA, 587 nt
Filed under: uncultured bacterium
Lineage: Bacteria
Description: bacterial SSU rRNA
Rfam family: Bacterial small subunit ribosomal RNA
Source: RNAcentral